CAAUAGCGUAUAUUAAAGUUGUUGCAGUUAGAACGCUCGUAGUCGGAUUUCGGGGCGUUCCGACUGGUCUGCCGAUGGGUACGCACUGGUCGGCGCGUCCUUCCUUCCGGAGACCGUGCCUACUCUUAACUGAGCGGGGGCGGGAGACGGAUCGUUUACUUUGAAAAAUCAGAGUGUUUCAAGCAGGCAUCUCGCUCUUGCAUGGAUUAGCAUGGGAUAAUGAAAUAGGACUUUGGUGCUAUUUUGUUGGUUUCGAACACCGGAGUAAUGAUUAACAGGGACAGUCAGGGGCACUCGUAUUCCGUCGAGAGAGGUGAAAUUCUCAGACCAAUGGAAGACGAACCACUGCGAAAGCAUUUGCCAGGGAUGUUUUCACUGAUCAAGAACGAAAGUUAGGGGAUCGAAGAUGAUUAGAUACCAU
Molecule: ribosomal RNA, 421 nt
Filed under: uncultured eukaryote
Lineage: Eukaryota
Description: SSU rRNA
Rfam family: Eukaryotic small subunit ribosomal RNA
Source: RNAcentral